RNAcentral lists this ribosomal RNA (292 nucleotides) under uncultured bacterium. Its description in RNAcentral is "partial 16S ribosomal RNA". It matches the Rfam family "Bacterial small subunit ribosomal RNA", at positions 505 to 796 of the family's 1533-position model. The record is from RNAcentral.
GUGCCAGCAGCCGCGGUAAUACGAAGGGUGCAAGCGUUACUCGGAAUUACUGGGCGUAAAGAGUACGUAGGCGGCAUGGUAAGUCUGAUAUUAAAGACCGGAGCUCAACUCCGGGACUGUAUCGGAAACUGCCAAACUAGAGGACAAUAGAGGAAGUCGGAAUUCUCAGUGUAGCGGUGAAAUGCGUAGAUAUUGGGAAGAACACCAGUGGCGAAAGCGGACUUCUGGGUUGUUACUGACGCUGAGGUACGAAAGCGUGGGGAGCAAACGGGAUUAGAUACCCCGGUAGUCC